AUUGAACGCUGGCGGCAUGCUUUACACAUGCAAGUCGAACGGUAACAGGCCUUCGGGUGCUGACGAGUGGCGAACGGGUGAGUAAUGCAUCGGAACGUGCCCAGAGGUGGGGGAUAACGCAGCGAAAGCUGUGCUAAUACCGCAUGUGAUCUGAGGAUGAAAGCGGGGGACCAGGCAGCAAUGUUUGGCCUCGCGCCUUUGGAGCGGCCGAUGUCAGAUUAGGUAGUUGGUGGGGUAAAGGCCUACCAAGCCGACGAUCUGUAGCUGGUCUGAGAGGACGACCAGCCACACUGGGACUGAGACACGGCCCAGACUCCUACGGGAGGCAGCAGUGGGGAAUUUUGGACAACGGGCGCAAGCCUGAUCCAGCAAUGCCGCGUGCGGGAAAAAGGCCUUCGGGCUGUAAACCGCUUUUGUACGGAACGAAAAGGCUCUGGCUAAUACCUGGGGCUGAUGACGGUACCGGAAGAAUAAGCACCGGCUAACUACGUG
Molecule: ribosomal RNA, 492 nt
Filed under: uncultured bacterium
Lineage: Bacteria
Description: partial 16S ribosomal RNA
Rfam family: Bacterial small subunit ribosomal RNA
Source: RNAcentral